UUUAAAAUGAGAGUUUGAUCCUGGCUCAGGACGAACGCUGGCGGCGUGCCUAAUACAUGCAAGUCGAACGA
RNAcentral lists this ribosomal RNA (71 nucleotides) under Ligilactobacillus salivarius. RNAcentral describes it as "Lactobacillus salivarius partial 16S ribosomal RNA". It matches the Rfam family "Bacterial small subunit ribosomal RNA", at positions 1 to 69 of the family's 1533-position model. The record is from RNAcentral. Lineage: Bacteria; Bacillati; Bacillota; Bacilli; Lactobacillales; Lactobacillaceae.